Molecule: transfer RNA, 60 nt
Filed under: Ornithodoros phacochoerus
Lineage: Eukaryota; Metazoa; Arthropoda; Arachnida; Ixodida; Argasidae
Description: tRNA-His
Source: RNAcentral
ACUUGGUUAGUUUAUAAAAAAUAUUAAAUUGUGGUUUUAAAGAAGUGAUUACAUUAAGUA